Molecule: transfer RNA, 73 nt
Filed under: Gasterosteus aculeatus (three-spined stickleback)
Lineage: Eukaryota; Metazoa; Chordata; Actinopteri; Perciformes; Gasterosteidae
Rfam family: tRNA
About the family: Transfer RNA (tRNA) molecules are approximately 80 nucleotides in length. Their secondary structure includes four short double-helical elements and three loops (D, anti-codon, and T loops). Further hydrogen bonds mediate the characteristic L-shaped molecular structure. tRNAs have two regions of fundamental functional importance: the anti-codon, which is responsible for specific mRNA codon recognition, and the 3' end, to which the tRNAs corresponding amino acid is attached (by aminoacyl-tRNA synthetases). tRNAs cope with the degeneracy of the genetic code in two manners: having more than one tRNA (with a specific anti-codon) for a particular amino acid; and 'wobble' base-pairing, i.e. permitting non-standard base-pairing at the 3rd anti-codon position.
Source: Rfam by way of RNAcentral
GCCUCGAUGGCGCAAUAGGCAGCGCGUCAGUCUCAUAAUCUGAAGGCCUUGAGUUCUACCCGCAGACGGGGCA